Molecule: ribosomal RNA, 565 nt
Filed under: Limosilactobacillus fermentum
Lineage: Bacteria; Bacillati; Bacillota; Bacilli; Lactobacillales; Lactobacillaceae
Description: bacterial SSU rRNA
Rfam family: Bacterial small subunit ribosomal RNA
Source: RNAcentral
GCGCAAGCCUGAUGGAGCAACACCGCGUGAGUGAAGAAGGGUUUCGGCUCGUAAAGCUCUGUUGUUAAAGAAGAACACGUAUGAGAGUAACUGUUCAUACGUUGACGGUAUUUAACCAGAAAGUCACGGCUAACUACGUGCCAGCAGCCGCGGUAAUACGUAGGUGGCAAGCGUUAUCCGGAUUUAUUGGGCGUAAAGAGAGUGCAGGCGGUUUUCUAAGUCUGAUGUGAAAGCCUUCGGCUUAACCGGAGAAGUGCAUCGGAAACUGGAUAACUUGAGUGCAGAAGAGGGUAGUGGAACUCCAUGUGUAGCGGUGGAAUGCGUAGAUAUAUGGAAGAACACCAGUGGCGAAGGCGGCUACCUGGUCUGCAACUGACGCUGAGACUCGAAAGCAUGGGUAGCGAACAGGAUUAGAUACCCUGGUAGUCCAUGCCGUAAACGAUGAGUGCUAGGUGUUGGAGGGUUUCCGCCCUUCAGUGCCGGAGCUAACGCAUUAAGCACUCCGCCUGGGGAGUACGACCGCAAGGUUGAAACUCAAAGGAAUUGACGGGGGCCCGCACAAGCG